RNAcentral lists this ribosomal RNA (427 nucleotides) under uncultured bacterium. RNAcentral's name for it is "bacterial SSU rRNA". It matches the Rfam family "Bacterial small subunit ribosomal RNA", at positions 355 to 774 of the family's 1533-position model. The record is from RNAcentral.
UGAGGAAUAUUGGACAAUGGGCGCAAGCCUGAUCCAGCAAUGCCGCGUGCAGGAUGAAGGCCUUCGGGUUGUAAACUGCUUUUGUACGGAGCGAAAAGGUCUGCCCUAAUACGGUGGGCUCAUGACGGUACCGUAAGAAUAAGCACCGGCUAACUACGUGCCAGCAGCCGCGGUAAUACGUAGGGUGCGAGCGUUAAUCGGAAUUACUGGGCGUAAAGCGUGCGCAGGCGGUUAUAUAAGACAGAUGUGAAAUCCCCGGGCUCAACCUGGGACCUGCAUUUGUGACUGUAUAGCUAGAGUACGGUAGAGGGGGAUGGAAUUCCGCGUGUAGCAGUGAAAUGCGUCGAUAUGCGGAGGAACACCGAUGGCGAAUGCAAUCCCCUGGACCUGUGCUGACGCUCAUGCACGAAAGCGUGGGGAGCAAACA